CAGUCGCCGCGGGAAUACGUAGGUCCCGAGCAUUGUCCGGAUUUAUUGGGCGUAAAGCGAGCGCAGGCGGUUAGAUAAGUCUGAAGUUAAAGGCUGUGGCUUAACCAUAGUACGCUUUGGAAACUGUUUAACUUGAGUGCAAGAGGGGAGAGUGGAAUUCCAUGUGUAGCGGUGAAAUGCGUAGAUAUAUGGAGGAACACCGGUGGCGAAAGCGGCUCUCUGGCUUGUAACUGACGCUGAGGCUCGAAAGCGUGGGGAGCAAACAGGAUUAGAUACCCGAGUAGUCCCUGUCUCUUAUACC
This 301-nucleotide ribosomal RNA is filed under the name uncultured bacterium. RNAcentral describes it as "partial 16S ribosomal RNA". It matches the Rfam family "Bacterial small subunit ribosomal RNA", at positions 509 to 808 of the family's 1533-position model. The record is from RNAcentral.